This 110-nucleotide ribosomal RNA is filed under the name uncultured eukaryote. Its description in RNAcentral is "partial small subunit ribosomal RNA". It matches the Rfam family "Eukaryotic small subunit ribosomal RNA", at positions 1676 to 1785 of the family's 1831-position model. The record is from RNAcentral.
UCGCAUCUACCGAUUGGAUGGUCCGGUGAAGCCUUGGGAUUGUAGUUUGGUUCCUUUAUUGGGACCUUACCGCGAGAACAUGUCUAAACCUUAUCAUUUAGAGGAAGGUG